RNAcentral lists this ribosomal RNA (883 nucleotides) under uncultured bacterium. Its description in RNAcentral is "bacterial SSU rRNA". It matches the Rfam family "Bacterial small subunit ribosomal RNA", at positions 505 to 1397 of the family's 1533-position model. The record is from RNAcentral.
GUGCCACCGCCGCGGUAAUACGGAGGAUGCGACGUUAUCCGGAUUUAUUGGGUUUAAAGGGUGCGUAGCGGUCUGGUAAGUCACGGUGAAAUGCUAUCGCUCAACGAUAGAAUUGCCGUUGAUACUGUCGGACUUGAAUGCGGAUGCCGUUGGAGGAAUGUGUGGUGUAGCGGUGAAAUGCAUAGAUAUCACACAGAACACCGAUUGCGAAGGCAUCUGACGAAUCCGCAAUUGACGCUGAGGCACGAAAGUGUGGGGAUCAAACAGGAUUAGAUACCCUGGUAGUCCACACAGUAAACGAUGAUGACUAACCGUCGGCGAUACACAGUCGGUGGCCAAGCGAAAGCGAUAAGUCAUCCACCUGGGGAGUACGACCGCAAGGUUGAAACUCAAAGGAAUUGACGGGGGCCCGCACAAGCGGAGGAACAUGUGGUUUAAUUCGAUGAUACGCGAGGAACCUUACCCGGGCUCGAACGGCAGCUGAAUGACUCAGAGAUGGGUCAGUCUUCGGACAGUUGUCGAGGUGCUGCAUGGUUGUCGUCAGCUCGUGCCGUGAGGUGUCGGCUUAAGUGCCAUAACGAGCGCAACCCUUGCCGUUAGUUGCCAUCAAGUGAAGUUGGGGACUCUAGCGGGACUGCCACCGCAAGGUGUGAGGAAGGGGGGGAUGACGUCAAAUCAGCACGGCCCUUACGUCCGGGGCGACACACGUGUUACAAUGGUGGGUACAGAGGGGAGCUACCUGGUGACAGGAUGCGAAUCUCGAAAACCCAUCCCAGUUCGGACUGGAGUCUGCAACCCGACUCCACGAAGUUGGAUUCGCUAGUAAUCGCGCAUCAGCCAUGGCGCGGUGAAUACGUUCCCGGGCCUUGUACACACCGCCCGU